RNAcentral lists this ribosomal RNA (310 nucleotides) under uncultured fungus. RNAcentral's name for it is "SSU rRNA". It matches the Rfam family "Eukaryotic small subunit ribosomal RNA", at positions 39 to 352 of the family's 1831-position model. The record is from RNAcentral. Lineage: Eukaryota; Fungi.
AAAGAUUAAGCCAUGCAUGUCUAAGUAUAAGCAAUCUAUACGGUGAAACUGCGAAUGGCUCAUUAAAUCAGUUAUCGUUUAUUUGAUAGUACCUUACUACUUGGAUAACCGUGGUAAUUCUAGAGCUAAUACAUGCUAAAAACCUCGACUUCGGAAGGGGUGUAUUUAUUAGAUAAAAAACCAAUGCCCUCCGGGGCUCCUUGGUGAUUCAUGAUAACUUAACGAAUCGCAUGGCCUUGUGCCGGCGAUGGUUCAUUCAAAUUUCUGCCCUAUCAACUUUCGAUGGUAUGGUCUUGGCUUACCAUGGUUU